Molecule: non-coding RNA, 4682 nt
Organism: Momordica charantia (bitter melon)
Lineage: Eukaryota; Viridiplantae; Streptophyta; Magnoliopsida; Cucurbitales; Cucurbitaceae
Source: RefSeq, a predicted model, not a curated record
CCAUUGAGUUAGGAGAAGAAGUUAUAAUGGAGGUCUUUAAAGGCUUUUCCGUGCACUCCGUGAUCACUCAUUUCUAUAUGAGGAGCGAACUUGAAUAUGACGAACCUGAGCUCCUAGUGGACAACGAUGAUCCACCAACCCCUGAAGUGAUGAACGAGGUAUGGAAGAAUAAGAAAGUUGAAGAAGAGGAACCGAUAGAGGAUUAAGAUUUUGGCCACUUCAAAAUUACACCAGGUGCAAUUUAAGAAAUUUUUUUUAGAGAUUUCUGAAAAUUUCAAUUAAGAAUGUUCGUGGGCUUAUUUUAGGUUUGUUUUAAAUGGGCUUUGGGCUAUUUGAAAACAUAAAGACCCUAUUGUUAAAACCCUAAGGUAUUUUAAAUGAAAAACAAAAAGGAAGCCCUAAUCCUCUCCCCUCAUUUGCGAUUUUCAUCCCAAAAAGUCCCUAACUUGUUUUCAAGUUUCUCUCAUAAAAUCUUCAAGAAUACCAAAAAUCUCUCACACUCCUCUCAUUUUCGGCUAAGUUAGGUUAGGGUUGAGGAAGUUUUUCGUUCUUUUUCAAGCAAAGUGCCAAGAUUCCAUAGAAGGCUCCUCCUCCUCCAAGUCAUGCGACAAAGAGAAAGGAAAGAAGAAGGUGAUGCUUCCACCACCUACUCCUCCAGGUAUGAUCCCUCUUAAACCCCCUCAUAUCUCUAAUGAAAGGUUAAUUUUUUAUCCUAGAACACAAAGAAAGAAACUAGAGGAAGCUUUGAGAAUGAAAUCUAGAAAGAACCUAUUAAUAAGCAGUGAAAGUUCUGAAAAAAUUUACUUUAAAACCUCAAGUUGCUAGGGUUAAUGAAGGAGGCCGUAAUGAAAAGAAAUUGGAAGAGUUUAGCAAGGUCUACCUAAAAAAAAUCAAUCUGUGGGUGAUAAAGGUUCUAUUUAGAAGCUAAAAUUGCUAGGAUUAAUGAGAGAAUUAAUAUUGAAAAUAAGAAAAGAGAGAUUAGGGAUAAGGAGCAUGAGUGUAUUUAUGCCAAGAUAGUAGAAUUAAAUGACAAAUGGAAAAUAUUUAUGGAAAAUUCGAGGAAGUUGAGUGAAGAAAUACAAAUUGAAUUAGAUGGUAUGAAUAAUCGUCAUAGGUUGGAUUUUCCUCAAAACAACACCGUGUCCGAAUCCAUGUUGCUAUGGAUGUAGAAGGCUAAAAAUAGGUUAUUGGUGAUUCUGAGCACGACAUAGAGCCAUUGGAGCAUUUGGAUCCGGCCACGGUCAAAAUUCAUAACAAAAUUUCACUUGGCGUAAUUUUGGAGAGCACUCCAUCAGCCACUCUACCAGGUAUUUCGUCUCUCAAUUUUCUAGAUUUUAUUUUGACUAAAAAGCCUUUAGUUUUUUAUGAUUUACAGGAAAAGACAAAGUCAUAAAUCGCCGAAAUUUUGGUGGCCUUGAAUGAAGCAACGGGAGAAAAUCCGUUGUAGGAUGAUGGAAGCUCAGGGUUGGUUGGAUGCUAGUAGAGAUGAUAAGGAUAUUGGAGAUUUACCCCAAGAAGUCUAUAGAGAAGAGUGUGAGGAAGAAGAGGGAAACGACGAUAUCUCCCAGUUUGAAGUGCGUAUGUGCACUCUGGUGCAUGAGUCGCAGCAAGAUGAGGAGGAAGCCCCUGUUCAAAUGGAAGAAGGAGCAUCUGGCCCUGAGGAUGUCCCAAAUGAAGCCAUAGAGGAAUCAUCUUCCUCUUCUUCAAAAGGUAUGACCCCUUCUUUUUCAAGCAUGAAUGUUUCAGACCAAAUUUCAUUGCUGCUGCAGAUAACUUAGACGAAGAGGUAUAUUUGACCAAAAUGGUGAAGAAAGAAAAUAAAACAAAAAAUUCAGCCUAAAUUGUGCCGGYGCAAUUUCAAGACCACGCACCUUGGUCGCUGUAGCACGAUUGGCCACCCAAAAAGCAGCUGAGGCUAGUCCAUCUAAAAAAGCCAUGAGGCCUAGACCAUUUGGAGAGGCAAAAGAGCAACUUGAAAAGGCUAAUGAAGAGGAACCCGCUACUACCAAACAACAACCAACGAGGGCCAAAAGAGUAAGGAUAGAAGUAAAGAAACCUGACUUUACAGCCCGAGGACUCUUGGUUGAAAAAAGAUUUGAUGAGGAGCAGGAGUUCGUGAUAGAUAAUGUCAAAUGACAGCUUGUGGAGCAUGGUUGGGAGACGGUGUUUGCCCCACCUAUGCAUGUGUCGGAGGCCUUGGUAAGAGAAUUCUAUGAUGCCAUCCACCCAAACCGAGGAGGUGCUGUGAGGUAAGGGGUAAAGUGGUAAGAUUUCUCCUUUGAUUAUUAACACUCACUAUGGAUUGUUGGAUGCGUUUAAUGCAGUAGGUAAUGAGAUUGUGGUGCAUCCGAUGGACGAACAAGUGGAGGAGGCGUGUAAGCUCAUAUGUAGACCACGCAAGACAUGAACCGUCUCAUCCAAAGGGAAGCUUUAAUUAAUACCGCUUGAUAUCAAUGAACAAGGCACCGUGUUGAGUUAUGUGGUGAAGAACCGAUUGAUCCCUACUUCACAUGAUUCCUCCAUCAAGUGUAGUAGGUUGAUGAUGGUGUUUAUUCUAAUGAAGGUCAUUGAGUUCAACUUUGGUGAACUCAUAAAGAAUGAGAUUUGGGUUUGUGCUGAGAAAAUGGUAGGUCCACUUGUUUUUUCUGCCUUAUAACAAAGUUAUAUUUGAAAGCAGAUGUAGAGGUCGAUGAUGAGGAUGUAGUGACGCCUAAGAAGCCGGCCACGUCUAUAAGGAGAGUUCGGGGAUACUCGAUCGUUUGUGAGGAAGAUUCUCCCACUACUGUCGUGGAUCCCGUGACUCGAGGUGUGGUUACUAGAGAACAAUACAACGAGUUAAGGCACAAAUAUGAUCUUCUCUUGGCUAUUCAACAUGGCACAUGUAAGUUUCUCAAGGAGCUUUAUGGAGAUGGUGCACUCUCCCCGAUGAGCUAAAGGCCGAUUUGCCUUCUUCUUCACGACCUAUCAUUGCUUCCACCGUUGAUGAUUCUUCAAAUGAUGAUUAGGGGAGUAUCUCUCUCUCUUUUCUUUGAUACUAGAUGUUUUGGAUCUUGAUCUUAUAUGUUAGUUUAUUUAGGUUGUUUUUGUGCUUCUAGUUUGCUUGUUAGGUUGUUUAGGUUAGUUUUAGUCUUAGGAUAGUUUUUUUAGGAUGUUGUGUUGUUAGUAAGAAAUAUCGGUUGUGUUUCUGCAUAUCGCUUUAAGUUCAAACUUUGCAUGCUUCUUUGUUCUAGCUACAAGUUUGUGCUUAGCUUCUUCAACGACAUCUUUUCUAAACUUCUAACAUGCUCAUCUUUUUAAGGAAAAGAUUUCCUUUGUACUUUACAGUUUGUGUCUUUUUGUUUGAGAAAGAACAUGCUUUUUACGUUUCGAAAAAAAGAGUCAUAAAGAAAAUGCAAGGAAUAAAAAAGAGUCAUAUGCACAAAAAAAAAUUCCAAAAGAAGAAAAUCAAGUAAAAAAAGAGUCUUGAGAGAAAAUAAGAGUGGAGGAAAGAAAAGAAAAAUAAAAGUGUGAGAAACACAAGAGUGGUAAAAUAACAUGAACGACAAGAAAAUGCACUCAUUUUUUCUCGAGUCCCACUAUAGACGCUCAUUUAUCUUUAAAUGGGUGGCGUUUGAAUCUUGGAGGGUAGCAGCCUACAAAAUUAAGGUGACUUCGUGAAAUCCAUUGUCGACAUCAUUUUAUGUUGAGUUGCUACCUAAAGAGUUUCUAUGAGUGGCUUAGUUGGAAAUCGAUGUUAGUGAGUGGAAAAUCUUAGGGGCUAGAAGCCGGUCCAUGUGUCUUCUUGAUGUAAAACUUUUCAAUCAAAACAAAAGUGUGCAUAUUCCUUAGUUUUGUAAAAUGUUUUGUGUUUUAGAAAAGAAGGAGAUUAGAAUCAUUUUUUAUUUUCAAAACAAGAAUGGUCUAUGGAAUGUUAGCUUGAGAUUAAAGUUAAGAAGUUUAGCUUGUGGAGUCCUUCCUGAGACGAAUAUGAUUCAUUUACUUAGAAUCUUUGGAUUGCUGCUCAUUAAUCUUUUUAGCAUGUUGGCUGUUUUGGGUUUAUUGUUGUUAUGUUUGCUUGAGGACAAGCAAAUGGCUAGGUUUGGGGAUGUGUUAGGGUUGACUUUUUACUGCAAAAAUAUGACUCGGUAGGCCUGUUUGACCAUAAACAUGAAUACUUUCCUAUCAAUAUUAGCUAAGCAGGCUUACAUGUUCUUAAAGUAAAACAUGCAUAGAACAUUUCUGGAUAAUUUGCAAUAUAUGGUAYUUUGAGAAAAAUAUGAGAAAAACAUAGUCAAAGUUGGAAGAAAAUUAUAGUUUUCUGUUUUGCAGGAAUUAUGCCUGGUGCAAUUUUGGUGGUCAACCUUCCCAAAACGUGAGUUUCACUUAAUGAAGGGCAAGUGAGUCAUUUCAUAUAUGUUUAAAUGAAGCAAAAUCAUGAGUCCAAGUCGGAGAGCUUGUUUGAAGAAUCUUAACACAUUUCCUCCUAAAUUGGUGGGAAGUUCAACCUUUUUGAAGGCCUAUAAAGAAAGCCUCUCCCUCAGCACUUCAUCAUCCCUUUCCAUCCCGUUUUCUUCAGCAUUUGUAGCUUUAGUUUUUGUUCAUUAGCUUUAGAGUUCGUUGGAUUUAUUCUCUAGUUGUUAUUUCUUUGUAUUUCCAACUUCUACUUGUCGUUUCAAUUUUAAUUAAAGUUCUUUCUUUCGUUC